Molecule: ribosomal RNA, 484 nt
Filed under: uncultured bacterium
Lineage: Bacteria
Description: partial 16S ribosomal RNA
Rfam family: Bacterial small subunit ribosomal RNA
Source: RNAcentral
AUUGAACGCUGGCGGCAUGCUUUACACAUGCAGGUCGAACGGCAGCGCGGGCUUCGGCCUGGCGGCGAGUGGCGAACGGGUGAGUAAUGCAUCGGAACGUGCCCAGUAGUGGGGGAUAGCCCGGCGAAAGCCGGAUUAAUACCGCAUACGACCUGAGGGUGAAAGCGGGGGACCGAAAGGCCUCGCGCUAUUGGAGCGGCCGAUGUCGGAUUAGCUAGUUGGUGGGGUAAAGGCUUACCAAGGCGACGAUCCGUAGCUGGUCUGAGAGGACGACCAGCCACACUGGGACUGAGACACUGCCCAGACUCCUACGGGAGGCAGCAGUGGGGAAUUUUGGACAAUGGGGGCAACCCUGAUCCAGCCAUGCCGCGUGCGGGAAGAAGGCCUUCGGGUUGUAAACCGCUUUUGUUCGGGAAGAAAUCCUCUGGGCUAAUACCCCGGGGGGAUGACGGUACCGGAAGAAUAAGCACCGGCUAACUACGUG